UCCGGUUUAGACCGGCGGUCUCCCUAGAGAAGUUAACUAAGGACAAGGGUUGCGCUCGUUGCGGGACUUAACCCAACACCUCACGGCACGAGCUGACGACAGCCGUGCAGCACCUGUGCUCGCUCCCUCGCGGGUCAGCCGACUUUCGCCGACUUACCACGAGCAUGUCAAGCCCGGGUAAGGUUCUGCGCGUUGCAUCGAAUUAAACCACACGCUCCGCUGCUUGUGCGGGCCCCCGUCAAUUCCUUUGAGUUUCAACCUUGCGAUCGUACUCCCCAGGUGGAAUACUUAAUGCGUUAGCUGCGACACUGAAUUUUUACAUCCAACGUCUAGUAUUCAUCGUUUAGGGCGUGGACUAC
RNAcentral lists this unclassified non-coding RNA (359 nucleotides) under uncultured bacterium. Its description in RNAcentral is "contains 16S-23S intergenic spacer region". The record is from RNAcentral.